GUGUAUUACAACAGGUUUGAUGAAGGAUGGUAUUGUAACUUUUAAGUAUAUGGAUGCUUUCAGAGUUCAGAUGUUGUCUAUGAGAGAAUAAAGAUUUCCUCGCAUUUAGCAUCAGACAAAAUUCACAUUUCAAGGUACGAUUGGAA
Juglans microcarpa x Juglans regia is the source of this 146-nucleotide long non-coding RNA. RefSeq lists it as uncharacterized. The record is from RefSeq and is a predicted model, not a curated record. The transcript has 3 exons. NCBI's taxonomy places the organism in Eukaryota, Viridiplantae, Streptophyta, Magnoliopsida, Fagales, Juglandaceae.